This 437-nucleotide ribosomal RNA is filed under the name uncultured Oscillospiraceae bacterium. Its description in RNAcentral is "bacterial SSU rRNA". It matches the Rfam family "Bacterial small subunit ribosomal RNA", at positions 341 to 792 of the family's 1533-position model. The record is from RNAcentral. Lineage: Bacteria; Bacillati; Bacillota; Clostridia; Eubacteriales; Oscillospiraceae.
ACGGAAGGCAGCAGUGGGGGAUAUUGCACAAUGGGGGAAACCCUGAUGCAGCAACGCCGCGUGAAGGAAGAAGGUCUUCGGAUUGUAAACUUUUGUCUUAUGGGAAGAAGAAAGUGACGGUACCAUAGGAGGAAGCCACGGCUAACUACGUGCCAGCAGCCGCGGUAAUACGUAGGUGGCAAGCGUUGUCCGGAUUUACUGGGUGUAAAGGGCGUGUAGACGGGAUUGCAAGUCAGAUGUGAAAUUUAUGGGCUUAACCCAUAACCUGCAUUUGAAACUGUAGUUCUUGAGUAAUGGAGAGGUAAGCGGAAUUCCUAGUGUAGCGGUGAAAUGCGUAGAUAUUAGGAGGAACACCGGUGGCGAAGGCGGCUUACUGGACAUUUACUGACGUUGAGGCGCGAAAGUGUGGGGAGCAAACAGGAUUAGAUACCCUGGUA